Molecule: ribosomal RNA, 339 nt
Filed under: uncultured Filifactor sp.
Lineage: Bacteria; Bacillati; Bacillota; Clostridia; Peptostreptococcales; Filifactoraceae
Description: bacterial SSU rRNA
Rfam family: Bacterial small subunit ribosomal RNA
Source: RNAcentral
UGGGGGAAUAUUGGGGGCAAUGGGAGGCAACUCUGACCCAGCAAUGCCGCGUGAGUGAAGAAGGUUUUCGGAUUGUAAAACUCUUUAAGUGGGGACGAAGAAAGUGACAGUACCCACAGAAUAAGCAUCGGCUAACUACGUGCCAGCAGCCGCGGUAAUACGUAGGAUGCAAGCGUUAUCCGGAAUGACUGGGCGUAAAGGGUGCGUAGGCGGUUUACCAAGUUGGCAGCGUAAUUCCGGGGCUUAACUUCGGAACUACUGCCAAAACUGGCAGGCUUGAGUGCGGUAGAGGUAUGUGGAAUUCCUAGUGUAGCGGUGGAAUGCGUAGAUAUUAGGAGG